GACAUUUUUCCAGGGAAACUAUACUGCCGAUAAGGCUGAUUUUUGCAUGUUUCCUGUUUUUGUUUAAAAAUACAUUGAAUUUUGAGAAAUAAAUUAGUACUUAACAACAUUAAAUUUAAAAAAUAGCUAGUUUAAAUUUUUUUUGUAAUUUCAAUCAAAAUUUUGAUUUUGAAAAUGAACUUUUCAAAUACUAUAUAAACAGCUAUAAACAAGAAAAUAGACUAGGUUUUUGGUUUUACAAAAAGGUCAAUUUUUCCAAAAAUUGUAGAUUGUAGGUUGAUAUCCUCCUCCUUCCAUACGAAUAUUUUCUUGGCACAACUCCUUCUGAAUAAACCUGGGGUGGAAUCAUGGCACACGAUUACGAUCAUACGUUAACGUUUUGACUAUUGCUGUCUCUAUUUAAUCAGUAGAAAAAAAUAGGAGCAGAUAGCGGCCAUACGUCAACGAAUGUAUGCCGACCCCAGAAAACCUGCUAAAUCCAAUAUUUUUUUGCAUUACUAACAGAAGAAAACCUGCUAACUUACAAAAAUGCAAAAAAGGUACCAAACUUCGCAUCUUUUUGAAUCAGCUUACGUAUAGAAAUGAAGAGUACUAAUCAUGAAAUGAAGAGUAUCUAAUACAGAAAAAAUGGCAUUUUGGAUUUUUCUUUUAAAUUGACAAGAACUAUUUUUGAUUUUUCCUUUCCCUUGUAAAAUUUACUUAAGUGGAGAUAGCAGGUUUACACUCUAAGCCGACGAUAUGAAAUAUGAAAGCUUAUGCAGUUGCAAUUAUUGCAUAUCGUUUAAACAUCCUAAUACCAUGCUCACGAGCCUUAAGUGAAGUGAUGAUAAUUAUAAUUCUAUGUAGAUCAAAUUUUUGAGCCCACGUCAAUUUUCGUCAAUUU
Episyrphus balteatus (marmalade hoverfly) is the source of this 883-nucleotide long non-coding RNA. RefSeq lists it as uncharacterized. The transcript has 3 exons. The record is from RefSeq and is a predicted model, not a curated record. Lineage: Eukaryota; Metazoa; Arthropoda; Insecta; Diptera; Syrphidae.